Molecule: ribosomal RNA, 468 nt
Filed under: uncultured bacterium
Lineage: Bacteria
Description: partial 16S ribosomal RNA
Rfam family: Bacterial small subunit ribosomal RNA
Source: RNAcentral
GACGAACGCUGGCGGCGUGCUUAACACAUGCAAGUCGAACGGAAAGGCCAUGCUGUUGUGGGGUGCUCGAGUGGCGAACGGGUGAGUAACACGUGGGUACCCUGCCCUUGCCUUUGGGAUAACUUCAGGAAACUGGGGCUAAUACCGGAUAGGAGCUCCUACUGCAUGGUGGGGGUUGGAAAGUUUCGGCGGUUGGGGAUGGACUCGCGGCUUAUCGGCUUGUUGGUGGGGUAGUGUCUUAGCAAGGCUUUGACGGGUAGCCGGCCUGAGAGGGUGACCGGCCCCAUUGGGCCUGGGAAACGGGCCAGACUCCUACGGGAGGAAGCAGUGGGGAAUAGUGCACAAUGGGCGGAAGCCUGAUGCAGCAACGCCGCGUGCGGGAUGACGGCCUUAGGGUUGGAAACCGCUUUCGCCUGUGACGAAGCGUGAGUGACGGUAAUGGGUAAAGAAGCACCGGCUAACUACGUG